RNAcentral lists this ribosomal RNA (541 nucleotides) under uncultured archaeon. RNAcentral's name for it is "bacterial SSU rRNA". It matches the Rfam family "Archaeal small subunit ribosomal RNA", at positions 459 to 999 of the family's 1478-position model. The record is from RNAcentral.
CAGCCGCCGCGGUAAUACCGGCGGCUCGAGUGGUGGCCACUUUUAUUGGGCUUAAAGCGUUCGUAGCUGGGUUGCUAAGUCCCUUGGGAAAUCCGACAGCUUAACUGUCGGGCGUCUAAGGGAUACUGGUAAUCUUGGAACCGGGAGAGGUGAGGGGUACUUCGGGGGUAGGAGUGAAAUCCUGUAAUCCUCGAGGGACCACCUGUGGCGAAGGCGCCUCACCAGAACGGCUUCGACAGUGAGGGACGAAAGCUGGGGGAGCAAACCGGAUUAGAUACCCGGGUAGUCCCAGCCGUAAACGAUGUGCGUUAGGUGUAUCGGUGACCACGAGUCACCGAGGUGCCGAAGGGAAACCGUGAAACGUACCGCCUGGGAAGUACGGUCGCAAGGCUGAAACUUAAAGGAAUUGGCGGGGGAGCACCACAACAGGUGGAGCCUGCGGUUUAAUUGGACUCAACGCCGGAAAUCUCACCGGAUAAGACAGCUGAAUGAUUGUCGGGCUGAAGACUCUACAUGACUAGCUGAGAGGUGGUGCAUGGCC